GACGAACGCUGGCGGCGUGCUUAACACAUGCAAGUCGAACGGAAAGGCCCUGCUUUUGUGGGGUGCUCGAGUGGCGAACGGGUGAGUAACACGUGAGUAACCUGCCCUUGACUUUGGGAUAACUUCAGGAAACUGGGGCUAAUACCGGAUAGGAGCUCCUGCUGCAUGGUGGGGGUUGGAAAGUUUCGGCGGUUGGGGAUGGACUCGCGGCUUAUCAGCUUGUUGGUGGGGUAGUGGCUUACCAAGGCUUUGACGGGUAGCCGGCCUGAGAGGGUGACCGGCCCCCAUGGGCCUAAGGUACGGCCCAGACUCCUACAGGGGGCAACAGGCGGGAGUAUUGCACAAUGGGCGGAAGCCUGAUGCAGCAACGCCGCGUUCGGGAUGACGGCCUUCAGGUUGUGAACCGCUUUCGCCUGUGACGAAGCGUGAGUGACGGUAAUGGGUAAAGAAGCACCGGCUAACUACGUG
RNAcentral lists this ribosomal RNA (468 nucleotides) under uncultured bacterium. Its description in RNAcentral is "partial 16S ribosomal RNA". It matches the Rfam family "Bacterial small subunit ribosomal RNA", at positions 28 to 507 of the family's 1533-position model. The record is from RNAcentral.